This 995-nucleotide ribosomal RNA is filed under the name uncultured bacterium. Its description in RNAcentral is "bacterial SSU rRNA". It matches the Rfam family "Bacterial small subunit ribosomal RNA", at positions 356 to 1376 of the family's 1533-position model. The record is from RNAcentral.
GGGGGAUAUUGCACAAUGGGGGAAACCCUGAUGCAGCGACGCCGCGUGGAGGAAGAAGGUUUUCGGAUUGUAAACUCCUGUCGUUAGGGACGAUAAUGACGGUACCUAACAAGAAAGCACCGGCUAACUACGUGCCAGCAGCCGCGGUAAAACGUAGGGUGCAAGCGUUGUCCGGAAUUACUGGGUGUAAAGGGAGCGCAGGCGGGAAGACAAGUUGGAAGUGAAAACCAUGGGCUCAACUCAUAAACUGCUUUCAAAACUGUUUUUCUUGAGUAGUGCAGAGGUAGGCGGAAUUCCCGGUGUAGCGGUGGAAUGCGUAGAUAUCGGGAGGAACACCAGUGGCGAAGGCGGCCUACUGGGCACCAACUGACGCUGAGGCUCGAAAGUGUGGGUAGCAAACAGGAUUAGAUACCCUGGUAGUCCACACCGUAAACGAUGAUUACUAGGUGUUGGAGGAUUGACCCCUUCAGUGCCGCAGUUAACACAAUAAGUAAUCCACCUGGGGAGUACGACCGCAAGGUUGAAACUCAAAGGAAUUGACGGGGGCCCGCACAAGCAGUGGAGUAUGUGGUUUAAUUCGACGCAACGCGAAGAACCUUACCAAGUCUUGACAUCCUGCGACGGACAUAGAAAUAUGUUUUUCCUUCGGGACGCAGAGACAGGUGGUGCAUGGUUGUCGUCAGCUCGUGUCGUGAGAUGUUGGGUUAAGUCCCGCAACGAGCGCAACCCUUACUGUCAGUUACUACGCAAGAGGACUCUGGCAGGACUGCCGUUGACAAAACGGAGGAAGGUGGGGAUGACGUCAAAUCAUCAUGCCCUUUAUGACUUGGGCUACACACGUACUACAAUGGCGUUAAACAAAGAGAAGCAAGACCGCGAGGUGGAGCAAAACUCAGAAACAACGUCCCAGUUCGGACUGCAGGCUGCAACUCGCCUGCACGAAGUCGGAAUUGCUAGUAAUCGUGGAUCAGCAUGCCACGGUGAAUACGUUCCCG